AUCGCUUCUCGGCCUUUUGGCUAAGAUCAAGUGUAGAAUGGUCCAAAGUGAGAAUAAUUCAGAAGUGGAAAAUGGUUUAAAAAGUGGCAUGAUAAGUGAGAGAAGUUACCAUGGAAAUUCCUCAUUGAGUUUUUUCAUUGUUGAUGUUAGGGAAAUUGUUU
RNAcentral lists this small nuclear RNA (161 nucleotides) under Rhinolophus ferrumequinum (greater horseshoe bat). Its description in RNAcentral is "U2 spliceosomal RNA (ENSRFEG00010005230.1)". It matches the Rfam family "U2 spliceosomal RNA". From Rfam's summary of the family: U2 is a small nuclear RNA (snRNA) component of the spliceosome (involved in pre-mRNA splicing). Complementary binding between U2 snRNA (in an area lying towards the 5' end but 3' to hairpin I) and the branchpoint sequence (BPS) of the intron results the bulging out of an unpaired adenosine, on the BPS, which initiates a nucleophilic attack at the intronic 5' splice site, thus starting the first of two transesterification reactions that mediate splicing. Lineage: Eukaryota; Metazoa; Chordata; Mammalia; Chiroptera; Rhinolophidae. The record is from Rfam by way of RNAcentral.